CGGAUGUAGCCAAGUGGAUCNAGGCAGUGGAUUG
This 34-nucleotide transfer RNA is filed under the name Escallonia paniculata. Its description in RNAcentral is "partial tRNA-His". Lineage: Eukaryota; Viridiplantae; Streptophyta; Magnoliopsida; Escalloniales; Escalloniaceae. The record is from RNAcentral.